GCCCUUAUAGCUCAAUGGAUAGAGCAACAGCCUUCUAAGCUGUAGGUUCCUGGUUCGAAUCCAGGUGAGGGUACCA
This 76-nucleotide transfer RNA is filed under the name Candidatus Peribacteria bacterium. Its description in RNAcentral is "tRNA-Arg". It matches the Rfam family "tRNA". Rfam says of the family: Transfer RNA (tRNA) molecules are approximately 80 nucleotides in length. Their secondary structure includes four short double-helical elements and three loops (D, anti-codon, and T loops). Lineage: Bacteria; Candidatus Peregrinibacteriota; Candidatus Peribacteria. The record is from RNAcentral.